This 24-nucleotide non-coding RNA is filed under the name Arabidopsis thaliana (thale cress). Lineage: Eukaryota; Viridiplantae; Streptophyta; Magnoliopsida; Brassicales; Brassicaceae. The record is from RNAcentral.
ACUGAGAUCUAUAGUUGUUAUUGA